RNA transcript from Pygocentrus nattereri (red-bellied piranha), 2232 nucleotides. It is a transcript of the gene named prohibitin 2b, with no coding region annotated. The transcript has 11 exons. The record is from RefSeq and is a predicted model, not a curated record. NCBI's taxonomy places the organism in Eukaryota, Metazoa, Chordata, Actinopteri, Characiformes, Serrasalmidae.
GGUCCGCGGCGGCGACCUUGGCUGUCUGGGAGCGAGCAUGGCGAAUAAAGAGCCGAGCAAGUUCCUUCAGCAGUUGAGGGACAUCGCCAGUCGCAUGUCCUCUGGCUCAAGGGGAGCAGGGUUGGGACUGAAGUUACUCAUUGGUGCUGGGGCUCUUGCCUAUGGAGUCAAAGAAGCUACAUAUACAGUGGAGGGCGGUCAGCGGGCAAUCAUCUUUAACAGAAUUGGUGGAAUGCAGAUGGACACCGUACUGGCUGAGGGGCUUCACUUUAGGAUGCCAUGGUUUCAAUAUCCCAUUAUUUAUGAUAUCAGAGCCAAACCACGGAAGAUUUCCUCUUUGACUGGAAGUAAAGACCUGCAAAUGGUGAACAUUGCCCUCCGUGUGUUGUCACGACCUGUGGCCUCGAACCUCCCUGUCAUGUACCAGCACCUGGGAACGGAUUAUGAUGACCGUGUGCUGCCCUCCAUUGUUAAUGAGGUCCUCAAGAGUGUGGUGGCCAAAUUCAACGCCUCCCAGCUCAUCACGCAAAGAGCUCAGGUUUCUUUGCUGAUUCGUCGAGACCUGUUCGAGCGGGCUAAAGACUUCAACAUCAUUCUUGAUGAUGUGGCUAUCACAGAGUUGAGCUUCAGUAAAGAGUAUACAGCAGCUGUGGAGUCCAAACAAGUUGCCCAGCAGGAGGCUCAAAGAGCUCAGUUCUUUGUUGAGAAAGCCAAACAAGAACAGAAGCAGAAAAUCAUCCAAGCUGAAGGAGAAGCCCAAGCAGCCAAAAUGUUAGGAGAGGCGGUUACAAAGAAUCCUGGAUACCUAAAACUCCGAAGAAUCCGAGCCGCUCAGAACAUCGCCAAAACAGUUGCAGCCUCCCAGAAUAGAGUUUACCUGAAUGCAGACAGUCUAGUCCUGAACCUCCAGGAUGACUCUUUUAACAAAUUGUCGCUUGGAAAGAAAUAAGCUGUGCAGAAAGCACUUUCGUUGUGUCUUGGAGGUUCUGCUCACAGCAACCAGGAGCAUGCUCUUAAGACCAUUACUACACCGGAGAAUGGAAGAUGGAGGGGAGGGGUUGUUCUCUGACAGAAGGUAAUAUGACACCUGCUAAUCUCCUCAGAUGGUGCACUGUCUUCACCACAAACAGAAAGAGGUGGUGCUGCCAAAAGAAAGAGCAAAGCGUUUGUAGCAAAAACUCAGAAGUCAUAACUUUUACAGGAGAAGGAAAAAAUAUUCUUAAUUUUUAAAUAUGGUCGUGUAAUGAGAUUUUAUUCCAAGCCAUUUCGGAAUAUUUCUAUUGGUCAAAGGAUUGUGAAAUUUUCACCUAACGAAAUGUGCAGGUGAUGUUUUCUAAUGGUGUAAAUAAUUGUGCAAACCAUAAACAGUAGUUAAACAUCCAUCCAUGAUAAUUCAGAAGUGUAGAGGGCUUCUAAAGUCGUAUUGGUGUCUGCGCUACACAGAAGAAAGAUGGAAACUGACCACUAAAAACAUAGUGGACCUUUACAUAUAACUGGUCGAGUGAGACUGGGAUUGAUUUGAUGGGAUUGAAACGAAAAUGACUCAAAAGGAGGAUCCACAGCUUUGUGCAGUAUAGACUGACAGAGACUGGAUGGAGGCUGUAACUGCCAGGGCCAGAAGAGAGACGAAUUGAGAUAAAGAAGGCCAGAUGGGUGAGGAAGAGAGAUUAGCUUUGUAGUAAUACUAUAUCUCUUUGUGCAGGAUCUCUAGUGUUCCUGAACACAGGACCUUCACUUAAUCUGGUCUGUUUUGUGGUCAUAAACUAUGCGGUACUAGAAAAUGUCCCUGUUUUCAAUAGUGUUCAAAUUAAGGGUUGGUGAAAUGGCAAAAGCAUAACGUCACUAUGCUUGAAGACAUUUUUAUUAUAAACAAUAUGUAUUACAAUAUUUGGUUUCUGCACACAAGUUGGAAUGGACAAAAUGAAUCAGUGCAACAUUCAUUUUUAUUUUUUAUAACUACUUGUUCUUAUGCCAUGUAUGCAGCUACUACUGGUUUUUGUUGUAAACAGGCUCAUGUAGUUGUUCAGUGUUGUAUGGAUGAUGCCUGUGAUAUAUUCAGAAAAAUGUAUACAGUCAGAAGCAAACGUUUGGGCAUUCCUGGUCAAAUUAUAUGUUUUGUACAUUUUUAAAGUGAAAAACGUUUACGUGUAUAGUAUAUAGUAUAAAGUUAAGCAGGCUGUGCAAACCUUAUGGCAUAUUUCAUAAUCUAUAUUUUCCAAUGUGUUAAACUCA